This 721-nucleotide ribosomal RNA is filed under the name uncultured bacterium. RNAcentral describes it as "bacterial SSU rRNA". It matches the Rfam family "Bacterial small subunit ribosomal RNA", at positions 755 to 1475 of the family's 1533-position model. The record is from RNAcentral.
GAAAGCGUGGGUAGCGANCAGGAUUAGAUACCCUGGUAGUCCACGCCGUAAACGAUGAGUGCUAGGUGUUAGGCCCUUUCCGGGGCUUAGUGCCGGAGCUAACGCAAUAAGCACUCCGCCUGGGGAGUACGACCGCAAGGUUGAAACUCAAAGGAAUUGACGGGGGCCCGCACAAGCGGUGGAGCAUGUGGUUUAAUUCGAAGCAACGCGAAGAACCUUACCAGGUCUUGACAUCCCGAUGCUAUUCUUAGAGAUAGGAAGUUACUUCGGUACAUCGGAGACAGGUGGUGCAUGGUUGUCGUCAGCUCGUGUCGUGAGAUGUUGGGUUAAGUCCCGCAACGAGCGCAACCCUUAUUGUUAGUUGCCAUCAUUAGGUUGGGCACUCUAGCGAGACUGCCGGUAAUAAACCGGAGGAAGGUGGGGAUGACGUCAAAUCAUCAUGCCCCUUAUGACCUGGGCUACACACGUGCUACAAUGGUCGGUACAACGAGUUGCGAGCCGGUGACGGCAAGCUAAUCUCUGAAAGCCGAUCUCAGUCCGGAUUGGAGGCUGCAACUCGCCUCCAUGAAGUCGGAAUCGCUAGUAAUCGCGGAUCAGCACGCCGCGGUGAAUACGUUCCCGGGCCUUGUACACACCGCCCGUCACACCACGAGAGUUUGUAACACCCGAAGUCGGUGAGGUAACCUUCUAGGGGCCAGCCGCCUAAGGUGGGANGGAUGAU